Molecule: transfer RNA, 67 nt
Filed under: Galago senegalensis (Senegal galago)
Lineage: Eukaryota; Metazoa; Chordata; Mammalia; Primates; Galagidae
Also listed under: 1 other name
Description: tRNA-Lys
Rfam family: tRNA
About the family: Transfer RNA (tRNA) molecules are approximately 80 nucleotides in length. Their secondary structure includes four short double-helical elements and three loops (D, anti-codon, and T loops).
Source: RNAcentral
UACUGUGAAGCUAAAAUGCAUUAACCUUUUAAGUUAAAGAUUGAGAGCCUAAACCUCUCCACAGUGG